RNAcentral lists this ribosomal RNA (436 nucleotides) under uncultured bacterium. RNAcentral's name for it is "partial 16S ribosomal RNA". It matches the Rfam family "Bacterial small subunit ribosomal RNA", at positions 29 to 507 of the family's 1533-position model. The record is from RNAcentral.
AACGGACGCUGGCGGCAUGCCUAACACAUGCAAGUCGAACGAGAUCCUUCGGGGUCUAGUGGCGCACGGGUGCGUAACGCGUGGGAAUCUGCCCUUAGGUUCGGAAUAACAGUUAGAAAUGACUGCUAAUACCGGAUGAUGACGUUAAGUCCAAAGAUUUAUCGCCUGAGGAUGAGCCCGCGUAGGAUUAGCUAGUUGGUGUGGUAAAGGCGCACCAAGGCGACGAUCCUUAGCUGGUCUGAGAGGAUGAUCAGCCACACUGGGACUGAGACACGGCCCAGACUCCUACGGGAGGCAGCAGUGGGGAAUAUUGGACAAUGGGCGCAAGCCUGAUCCAGCAAUGCCGCGUGAGUGAUGAAGGCCUUAGGGUUGUAAAGCUCUUUUACCCGGGAUGAUAAUGACAGUACCGGGAGAAUAAGCCCCGGCUAACUCCGUG